UAAAGCGUGCGCAGGCGGUUUGUAAGACUGUCGUGAAAUCCCCGGGCUCAACCUGGGAAUGGCGAUGGUGACUGCAAGGCUAGAGUUUGGCAGAGGGGGGUAGAAUUCCACGUGUAGCAGUGAAAUGCGUAGAUAUGUGGAGGAACACCGAUGGCGAAGGCAGCCCCCUGGGUCAAAACUGACGCUCAUGCACGAAAGCGUGGGGAGCAAACAGGAUUAGAUACCCCAGU
Molecule: ribosomal RNA, 230 nt
Filed under: uncultured bacterium
Lineage: Bacteria
Description: partial 16S ribosomal RNA
Rfam family: Bacterial small subunit ribosomal RNA
Source: RNAcentral